Long non-coding RNA from Chinchilla lanigera (long-tailed chinchilla), 1106 nucleotides. RefSeq lists it as uncharacterized. NCBI's taxonomy places the organism in Eukaryota, Metazoa, Chordata, Mammalia, Rodentia, Chinchillidae. The transcript has 4 exons. The record is from RefSeq and is a predicted model, not a curated record.
CCUGCCAUAGACUGUUUGUCCUCUUCAAUGCCCUCUGCCAUGCCCCCUGCCUUGGAGCCAGCCAACUGUGGACUGAAACCUUCACAAACUGUAAGCCAGAAUACACCUUCCCUCCUUCAGCUUGUGAGAGUUGGGUAUUGAGUCUCAGUAAUGAGAAAAAAUGCUUCCUAGGAAUGAGGAUGUCCUGAAGCAGUACAGAACUCUAGUGCUGCGUGGCUCGGUGCCAUGCAUGAGGAUUGCCUGUUGCAUUAAACUAAUGAGCUGUCUCAGUUGGAGAACUGUGCCAAGGAGACCAAAGUACAAGGGCCAAAGGCCAAAUUCCAGGACUUUAGUGAAGAUUUAUUCUGCUGAAGAUGGAAAAAUAAAAAGUCUACCAUAGAAGAAACCUUAUAAAAGUGAAGCCCUGGUUGUGGAAUCCAUUCUUUCUGUGUGAUAUGGAAAGAGCAGAAGAGGACAGCGAAGGGAGGAUUGACUGUGUGGUGGUUCCAGCCCAGUGAAGGUCUGACUGUGUGUGGUCUCCGCUCUGUGGAAGGGCAAGGGAAGGAGGAUGGCUGAUAAGGAGCUAGAGAAGAAAGAACAGCCCACUCCUGCCCAGACCCUGGGAGAAGGCCCGAGCCCGGGAAGGAGCAGCUGCAGCAACUUGGAGCCAGCCCAGCGACCGAAGGCCGGGAAUCCGAAUCCACGUUUACUCAGUCACCAGGGGCCCAACAUCUUGGGGACAGCUAUGUCUUUUGGCAGAUUUACUUUUCUUGGGCCUCAGUUUGUCUGUACAAUGAGGAUACUAAUGAUGAGCAUGAAGUUUAAAGUGUUUAUACACGGGCUGUUGUAAAUACUAUACAAAUGUGGGUUACAGAAAGCUUUCUUGGGUGUACUGGUGAGUGAGCCCGGGGCCGACACACUGAGCUGCAUCUCUGCCCUGCCUCUUUUUUACUGUUUUAUUUUGAGACAGGACCUCACUAAAUUGCUAAGUUGCCCAGGCCAAACUCAAACGCUUGAUCUCCUACCUCAGCUUCCCGGAGUGUGAGAAUUAGAGAAUUAUGCUACUAGGCCUGGCUAUAUAAUACUAAAAUUACUGCUAUUAAAAUGAAAUUACUGGGCCAGGGAUA